AACGCUGUUUCAUUAAAAAAUUCCACGUUAAAUUGUAUGUUAACAUCCAGAUUAUAAACCACAUACAGUACCCUCCACAAAUAUGGCCCUCCUUGGUAAAUAUGAGCAAAGAAGGCUGUGAAAAAUUGUCUUUAUUGUUUAAGCUUUUGAUCUUUUCUUCAGACAAUACACAAAAAUCUCUGUUCUUAUGGAUAGCAAACAAUUGCAAAUAAUACA
Molecule: long non-coding RNA, 216 nt
Organism: Spea bombifrons (plains spadefoot toad)
Lineage: Eukaryota; Metazoa; Chordata; Amphibia; Anura; Pelobatidae
Exons: 2
Source: RefSeq, a predicted model, not a curated record